GCCUCUCGGAGAUUUUCGAUUCCUAUUUUUGUUGCCUAUUAAUUUCCCCCCCCACCCCCCAACCCCCCUCCCUCUUUACCGCCUAUUUUACUUCUUUUGUCUGGGAGCUGGCACCUGUCCCAGAGACGGCAUUUUACUGCACAUCCCCUUUUCCCUCCUCAGCAGAGAAAAGGGGGGGUGUGGGGGGGAAGGUCUGCAAGGACGAAACAGCCUGUGCACCCCCUGCCCCCCAGACAUCCCCCCCAUAUUUCCUUUUCAGCCACGGUCCAAUUACAAGGGGUUUGAAGGGAUAUCACACGCCCUAUUUCACACGGCGCAGAUACCUACAGCCAUUAAAAAUAUAUUUCUAGGAAAGAGAAAGGCAGAGAAAGCAAGAGGCUCGUUCCCUGAGCAGCACUGUGCACUGGGACUCCGGGGAGGAAAAUCACCAGCAAAAGCCCUCAUCCUCAGAGCGCACAAACCUGCAAAGCCCUUUGCUCAGGCAAAGGAAUCCAUUUCCUUAACAGAGGGAAAAGGGAGUGAGGGAAAGGGAUGAGCAGAGGGGCGAGCCCUCGGCGCUGUGCCCUCUGCAUUGGGAUGCACAGCGCAGCAGAGGCGAGAACCAGCCCCGCUCGGGAACGCUGGGAGAGGAGAGGAGGGCUCAGGCAAGCAGAAGAAAAAGAAGAUCCUAUUUGCAGCAUUUUUAAAAGUUCUGCUCUGGCAAAGGCCGUCUGAAGGGGAGGCCCUUGCAGCAAGAAUGCGAGCAGCAGCCGCCUUUCCAGAGUCCAGCCUCCUUCUUGUGAGCGACUGGAGCAGUCUGGCGGAGGAGGAGGAGGAGGAGGAGGAGGACGACGUGAGCCAGCGAAACGCAGCGGGCUGGAGCUGAUGAUGAAAGCGGCACGGCCCUGCGCGGACAGGCUCCUUUCCAUCCCCCGCAGCCACGGGCACAGGGACACGCACCGGGCCCGGCUCUGCUCCAGCCCCGCCGGGUACCCCCGCGGGCCGGGGGCUGCGAUGGGGACGGCGCCGCAGGGAGGGGACCCGGCAGCGAUGGGAGGAGAGGCGCUGCGCUGGAAUGUAAAUGCACCCACGCUAUGGCAAUAUGCUUGACAGGGCAGUGCGGCUAAUGAAGCUUUUAAUUGGGGGAGGUGGGGGUGUGUGUGGUGUGUGUGGGGGGGGUGGUUUCUACGGAAAUAUCUCCCGGGAUUAAAUGGAGAGAAGAGGCUCCUUUCUGCAGUCACACACCUACACCGCUCUGCGUAACACAGCAGUCCGCAAGGACCACGAACUACAGCACACACACACACACACACACACACGCACACAAAACCAACCCCAACCUACCGAGCUGAAAAUGGCUAUUUGAAAAAGUAAAUACUGUAUGUGACAGAAAAAACUUUGCGAUUUGGUUUUCUCAUGCCCUUACUUCCAAACCAGCUGCACAGCCAAGCUCAGGCUGCUUGGCCCUUAUAACUCUCUUGGCACCGAGUCAAAAGCUGAUAAGCAUUUGGGCGAGACAGCUCAACUGCUGUGCUGGAAGAAAAACAGCUGCCAUGAUUGCUGUUUGAUUGAGAGCGCUCGCACACACUCACAAAAAACAUACCAGGCUGCAAGGACGGGCCACAAAUGCCUGAGGAUUCAGCUUCAGAAGAUCAACAUACAUUUCCUUAAAAAAAAAAUAAAAAAAUUAUAUAGUUUUGCCUCCAAACACCCUCCCCUUCUUUAAAGAAAACGUGCUGCGUCGACUUGCUUUUCUUCUUCCCAUCCCCCUCCAUAACCUCAAGCAAACUCAAGGAAUUGUGCCAAAAGUCCCGUUGCUAGUUACCAAGUGCAUUUUUUUAAACGUCCCUUUGAUACUUCUUUCCCUCCUGCUUGCCAUGGAAUAUGCAAGUAAGAUAAUCUUUCAAUUACUUACAAGAAGUAAUUAAAAAAGAACUUCUAGCUCAGCGUUCCUUUCCCUCUUUCUCUCUUAAGGGGCAAGAGGAGGGAAGCGAGGGGGAGAAGGAUGUUUUUUCUCUUUGCCGAGUCCAACAUUUGGCUUUUUCCAUUUGUGGCAGAUCACUGUAACGCUAUUGUAAAACAACUUCCUGCCCCUUUUGGCUCACGUUCCAGAAGCUGCUAGGCUAAGUUCAUAGCACAAACUUUUUUCCCCCUUGCCGAAGAAGAUAGACAAAAAAAAAUUCCUGCAAAUUAUUUCCCCCCUUUUCUGGCUCAUGGACUCACAAGGUGAAUUUAUUGCAGCUCUUUAAGAAUAUUACACAAGAGACGUCGGUAUCCCAGCUGGAUAAUUCAUAAGAUGAAAAGCAAUAAUUUCAACAAAAUCACAUACUCUGUCCCUUCUCUACGUGGGUGCAGCAUGGGACACCAGGAUACAGCAGCAAGCUCCGCCUCAGUCUGGCCCUUCCUCCAACCUCUGCUAACCUAAAAACCAGCGCCAGCCUGGCAGCGGGCCAGGGAUUCAAAAGUAAACAUUAUCCUCCUGCCAUUUUUCAGUGCUGUUUAUCAUAUCCUGAUCCCCUUAUUUUUUUUUUUUUACCCCCCCCUCCUCCUACCGCCCCCCUUUCGCCAUUGCUGAAAUCCCCGUCUCUGCUCCCGGUCUGUUUGGCUCCGCGGCGACAUCCAGCCCUGGGAGUCCCGCUCCGAUGCGGAGCCGCAGGACGCGGAGCGAGCGCGGGGUGCGGCCGUGCCCGCGCCAGGCGGCCUUCCCCCGGGGUGGGAUGGGAUUCGAUGGGAUGGGUGGGAUAGGAUGGGAUGGGGUGGGACGGCCGCCCGCCACCCGCUCCCCGCACCAUGCACUCGCCUCUCUCAGCGCUGCAGCUGCCGGCACAAACGCGGCUUUUGCCUCCGCGGCUUUUCCCGUUUUCUUAUUUAAUUGUGAGGGGAGUGCUUAAAGACCAGAGCCAUCCAGGAGCGGCCGUGAGGGCGCUGCACCUGACUCUUUGUUAUCCCUCAUCGCUCAUCCCCGCUCCCUUCCGCUCCGCGCUUCCUCCUCCCACCUUGCGCUGCUCCUCGUUUACCGAGGCUCCGUAAAAAAAAAAAAAAAAACCAAAAAAAACCAAAACAACAACAAAAAAAAACCAGCCUGACUGACUGAAGUAGCUGCUGCCCGUCAGGGGGUUUUUACCUAGUCGUGCACUGCAUGGUGUGGAUAGCGGGCAUAGCGGCAGGAGGAGGAAAGGAGAU
Passer domesticus (house sparrow) is the source of this 3162-nucleotide long non-coding RNA. RefSeq lists it as uncharacterized. The transcript is spliced from 3 exons. The record is from RefSeq and is a predicted model, not a curated record. NCBI's taxonomy places the organism in Eukaryota, Metazoa, Chordata, Aves, Passeriformes, Passeridae.